AUGGCCCAUCCUUUCUCUGCCCAGACAGCCUACUUCCCCAUCUGCAGUCCUUUGACUUCUCAGUUCAACACCCUGGCCCUGGGGAGCGAGCCUCAAGACUCCACUCCCAGGAGAACCCUCCAGGGGGCGCUCUCAUCCCCAGAGUCAAAGCUGGGCAGCGAGACUGGGAAAAAUGACUGGAAUAGAGGAACUAGUUCUGUGACCUGGACAAAAAGACAAGAAAGCAGGAGCCGUUCCAGAUGUUUCUCCUCCCUCCCGCCCCCGGCGUGGUCUGAGUGAACCCAGGGACAGGGACAGGAAGAGAUGCUCCCCAGGGACUCUGGUCCUGGCUGAGUCACCUGGCCUGGAUGUCCAGUUCACGCUACCUCUCUGUUACUCACUGACCAAGAAUAUGACUUAAUUCCCCGUGGGCGAUACCACCAGGCAUAUAAAGAAAUGGGUGAUGACCGUGACACAGAAGCUAAAAGCCUCAAUUACCCUUCGUAACAGGAACCGGGGACAUUUUUAUGAAGAGAGAAAUUUUUGCCUCAUAAAUCGCACUUGUGAGAAAUCCAGCCCACGCUGCUGGUGACCUUGUCACAUCUUCCACAGCCAGAGGCAGCCCCACAGAUGGCGGGGAUCACCUCAGCCUCACCCCUGCCCAUUAAGCCCAAGUAUGUGUUCUAGAGAGUGUAUGGGGGUCAGCCAGGGCCAGGAUGAGGCCAGGAUAGGCAGCCGGAAUGCAAGUAUAUUCCCAGCUCUCAACCUGGCUCCCUCUGUUGGUCUCAACUGCAGGGCAUGGGCAUAAGAAGAGGGUCUUUAAAAAGUCUUCUUGACGGGGUCCCACCCCCAGAGAUUCUGAUGUAACUGGUCCAGGGUGGGGCCUGGGCACUGGGAGCUUUAAAAGCCGCCCAGGUGAUUCUGAUGUACAGCCAAGUUGAGAGCUUACCCCUACCCUGCCCUGCCAGUCGAUGAAUCAACAGCAAGCUUUUAGCAAGUGCAAGCUGGUGGGAGGGGGGAGACCAGAAACAGCACACAGUUUCUGCCCAGGCUCAUUUACAUGAAGCCAUAAUGCGGACUCCCCACACCCCACGGGCAACAGAGACCCUGUGAAGAGGCCUGGGUGCAAGCACCUGGGGGAGCAGCUGCACCUGAUCUGAGCCCAGAAGCUUAGGCUGUCUAAAGGCUCCCACCCAUGCAC
This 1180-nucleotide long non-coding RNA is filed under the name Sus scrofa (pig). Its description in RNAcentral is "lncRNA (ENSSSCG00040012575.1)". Lineage: Eukaryota; Metazoa; Chordata; Mammalia; Artiodactyla; Suidae. The record is from RNAcentral.